Molecule: small RNA, 16 nt
Filed under: Arabidopsis thaliana (thale cress)
Lineage: Eukaryota; Viridiplantae; Streptophyta; Magnoliopsida; Brassicales; Brassicaceae
Description: ATSL236610
Source: RNAcentral
AGAAGAGAGAGUGUAG